GGGCCGCCGCCAGGGCUCCUCUGGGGCCCUCGCAGCCCGCGGGAAUCGCGCCCAUCCCGGCCGGACGGCUCCCGGAGAGCCCGUCGGGCAGCGCCGGGGCCGCGGCUCCUCGCGGGUUUGGCCCCUCAGCUCUCGCAGCUCCCAGUAGGACGAAAAACCCACGUUCCUCUGGCAGAGCGUCUGUCGGAAGAUGCCUUUGCCUCUUCCUAGUGCAACAAUGAGCUAUGCUGACCCCUCGGACGUGUACGAGCCCAAAGUAGUAGCAGUGUUAACUUUUUACCAUUAUCAGCGAUAGCGCCGUGAUGCGAGGGGACAUCGUGCAAUGCAGCACCUCAUUCCGUAGUGUGGGUAAGCUUUUAGGAGACAGCGGGGCCAAGUGGCAGUGCCCACAGCGAUCUGGUAGAGGUGGGCAUCACAGCUGAGGCUGCAGCUCCAGCUGGCUCCGUGCCCUGUCUGUCAGAGACCUCCAGCAGUGACCCAGUGGCACGGGGAGGGAUGUGGGAGAUUUAUGGCUGAAAUUCAAAAGCAGUCGAUGGUGGAACGCUGCCAGGAUUUGAGCUGAUGCCUUAAGUCAGUGUAUGAAAUUCAGCUCCAUGCAGAUGUGGAGAAGAUUAACAGAUGGAUAAGCUCUUUCUCAUUUUUAUGGCCCAUAAUUAUCUGUGGGGUGAUUUGUCAGCUUAAUUACAGUAGUGGCAGAGAUAAUGCCCAGGAAAGAGCGUGAAAGACAUCAUGUACAGAUAUCUCCACACGUAUGUUUUCAUUCUGCAAAAACUUGUGGCUUGACAGAGUUUUAUCCUGGAGUUGUUGCCUUCAUCUUUUGUAAGCUCCCAAUGCCUUCUUUCCUCCUGCCUGUAUUUGUCCAGUCAUUUUUCAAAAGUUGUGUAGAUUAUUAGCACCCGGAUUGCUAAACUGACAUUCAAAGUCAAGACUCAUUACAUUCUAAGUUACUGAGUACUAAUGCCAAAUCCUCAGGUUUCUCUUUAAAGGCUGCCCAGUUUCUUCCAGUUUGUUAUUAGCUGUCAGCUGCUCUAAGAGAUGACCCUCAGUAGCAGGAGAUGAAGUUGACCAUGAGUGGUCAUGCCUGCCUCUACCUGCUGAGCAUCUGCCUGCGCUCGUGAGCCCUUGGAGCUGUCCCUCACUAUGAAUUCUGUGCAGCAGGAACACAAAGAGUUGUAAGAGUUGUCUGCUGCUUUCCUCUGGCUUGGGUUCUUCCCAAACCGCUGAGUGGAUCUUUCCUCUCACUGAGGACAAUCUUUGCAGGAGACAAGUGAGCAUGUGUCUCCAUUGCAACUAAACCUGUAGCCCUAAAACAGUAGCCCUGUGCUCUGCUGAUAACUUGAAAGUCUAUUUGCUUUCACCACUGUGGAAAGAACAGUUCCUUUUAUGGACUAGAAAUAACUCAUCCUCUCUGCCCUCCAUGCUGCUCUACAGCUCUGAGGUGUGACUCCUAAAGCUGCCACAGCAUGGGUAUUGGUGCUGUACUGUCAGUUUCUGGUGUGAGUAUUAAGUGCGUGCAUUCUUUACAUGAUUUUCAUAUUUUCAUGUGCUGGAUGUAAAUCUAUCUAAUUUUUAUGUAAUGCUUCACAUACUUUGCAUAAAGUCAUAAUUUUAUCAAUGCCGUUCAAUCUAAAAUUCAUCCAUAUUUAAGCAAGUGGCUUUCUGUGGUGACUUUAACAGAAAUUAAAAAAAAUAAUCUAAAUUACUUUUUCUUUCCACUCUUUCAGCUUCACCUUCUUAUAUUUUUGUGCUUGCCUGUAAACAUCAGUAGGAGUUACCUCAGUCCCCUUUACCAAGAAGUAGAGGAUGUUAUAGAGAGCGGGAAAGAAACAUUUCAUCAUUUACUGUAAUGUUGAGGGCUGUUUGCUGUGCUUGCAAGAUAAAAAACCCCAACGAUUGUAUGUGUACGUGAGUGACAUUAAUCUAAUGGCAACAACAUGCUAUGGAAAUCAUAGGAAGAAAAUAGAAGAUAAUGUUACAGCUGUUCUCCUGUAAGACAGAAGGACUGAACCUCAGGAUUAUUGAAGAGAUUGUGCAGCCUGAAUUGUUGCCAAUUUUGGGUGUCACCAGUGCUUCCUCUUGAAAUUCUGGGUGCUGUGGUGUCUGGCAUAGAAUGAAAUUAAGAAGAAAAAAGUGUUUCUUGCUUUUAAGCUAUGCAAGUUCCUUUACUUUUUUUCGCUGAGAAUUUCUUUAACCUUGCAGAAUGAUUAUAGCUUUCAAAAGACAGUGUAUUUUAUGCAUUGACUUCAUGGCUUGGGGAAUAGUCUGUAAAUAUGUUGAAAAUAAAAUGGAGGAGAAAACAUA
This is a long non-coding RNA of Haemorhous mexicanus (house finch), 2301 nucleotides long. RefSeq lists it as uncharacterized. The record is from RefSeq and is a predicted model, not a curated record. NCBI's taxonomy places the organism in Eukaryota, Metazoa, Chordata, Aves, Passeriformes, Fringillidae. The transcript has 2 exons.